GACCUGCACACCUCCCAUGUAUAACAUUCUCUUUCUACUCUCUCCUUCUUAGGAGCUGUUCUGCAUCCGUGGAGUUGAAAGGGUUUAUGGCUCAUAAAAAGAACUGACAAGCUGUAUUUCAUGAGGAUUCACUUGGAUUUCUGUCCCUGCCACCCUAAUGCUCACCAGAACAGAGAGCCCUGCAGCAUUUCUGGGCAGUGGGAAAAUGCAAUUAUCUCACCCUACAAAGGGAAGGACACAAGGCAGAGUCACUCACCCAAAUUCCUACAGGCAGCCAGCAGCUCACCCUGUUCAGUGCCCUACCCACUCAACUCCUCCCUGGAGGAACAAGCUCCUGACACCAGUGGCAGAAAACAGAUCCACUUUCCAGUACAGAGUUAAGAGAGGGAUUUGCCCUUCGUCUGUAAACCAGCCUUGCUUAGAGCUGUUCUCCAUGCCAAAGCACAGUUUUUGGAGAAGCAAUGUUAUUAAUCUGACAACGUGCCAUGGAAGCUCUCUGUCACCUUGUCCUAAAACAAAAACUCCAGUGUCUCCACUGCUGCUGAGCAGUUGCCUCUGCGUUUGGGCAAGUGCUGAGGACACAGGAGGCUGA
RNAcentral lists this long non-coding RNA (592 nucleotides) under Cyanistes caeruleus (blue tit). RNAcentral's name for it is "lncRNA (ENSCCEG00000001754.1)". Lineage: Eukaryota; Metazoa; Chordata; Aves; Passeriformes; Paridae. The record is from RNAcentral.